RNAcentral lists this ribosomal RNA (1443 nucleotides) under Lycogala flavofuscum. RNAcentral describes it as "partial small subunit ribosomal RNA". It matches the Rfam family "Eukaryotic small subunit ribosomal RNA", at positions 4 to 1470 of the family's 1831-position model. Lineage: Eukaryota; Evosea; Eumycetozoa; Liceales; Enteridiidae. The record is from RNAcentral.
CUGGUUGAUCCUGCCAGUAGUCAUAUGCUUGUCUCAAAGAUUAAGCCAUGCAUGUCUAAGUAUAAACAACUCUAUACUGUGAAACUGCGAAUGGCUCAUUAAAUCAGUUAUAGUUUAUUUGAUGGUACCUUACUACAUGGAUAACUGUGGUAAUUCUAGAGCUAAUACAUGCUGAAAAGCCCCGACUUCUGGAAGGGGUGUAUUUAUUAGAUAAAAAACCAAUGGCGGGCAACCGUCUUGCGUUGAUUCAUAAUAACUUCUCGAAUCGCAUGGCCUUGCGCCGGCGAUGCUUCAUUCAAAUAUCUGCCCUAUCAACUUUCGAUGGUAGGAUAGAGGCCUACCAUGGUUAUGACGGGUAACGGGGAAUAAGGGUUCGAUUCCGGAGAGAGGGCCUGAGAAACGGCCCUCAGUCCUAAGGGACGCAGCAGGCGCGCAAAUUAUCCCAUCCCGACACGGGGAGAUAGUGACAAUAAAUAACAAUAUAGGGCCCUAAUGGGUCUUAUAAUUGGAAUGAGUACAAUUUAAAUCCCUUAACGAGGAUCAAUUGGAGGGCAAGUCUGGUGCCAGCAGCCGCGGUAAUUCCAGCUCCAAUAGCGUAUAUUAAAGUUGUUGCCGUUAAAAAGCUCGUAGUCGAACUUCGGCCUUUGCCGCCCGGUCCGCCUAUUUGGGCGUGUACUGGAGCGGUGGAGGCUUACCUCGUGGUGAACGGCCAUGCUCUUUACUGGGUGUGGUCCGAGAACCAUGACUUUUACUUUGAAAAAAUUAGAGUGUUCAAAGCAGGCUUACGCCCGAAUACAUUAGCAUGGAAUAAUAAAAUAGGACGUGCGGUUCUAUUUUGUUGGUUUCUAGGAUCGCCGUAAUGAUUAAUAGGGAUAGUUUGGGGGCAUUCGUAUUCAAUUGCUAGAGGUGAAAUUCUUGGAUUUAUUGAAGACGAACUACUGCGAAAGCAUUUGCCAAGGAUGUUUUCAUUGAUCAAGAACGAAGGUUAGGGGAUCGAAAACGAUCAGAUACCGUUGUAGUCUUAACAGUAAACGAUGCCGACUAGGGAUCGGACGAGGAUUUUUAAUGACUCGUUCGGCACCUGAAGAGAAAUCUUUAAGUCUAGGUUCGGGGGGGAGUAUGGUCGCAAGGCUGAAACUUAAAGGAAUUGACGGAAGGGCACCACCAGGUGUGGAGCCUGCGGCUUAAUUUGACUCAACACGGGGAAACUCACCAGGUCCAGACACGACAAGGAUUGACAGAUUGAUAGCUCUUUCUUGAUUUCGUGGUUGGUGGUGCAUGGCCGUUCUUAGUUGGUGGAGUGAUUUGUCUGGUUAAUUCCGAUAACGAACGAGACCUUAUCCUGCUAAAUAGCCCGGCCGACUUUGGUUGGUCGCUGGCUUCUUAGAGGGACUAUCAGCGUUUAGCUGAUGGAAGUUUGAGGCAAUAACAGGUCUGUGAUGC